UGGGGAAUCUUGCGCAAUGGGGGAAACCCUGACGCAGCGACGCCGCGUGCGGGAUGAAGGCCUUCGGGUUGUAAACCGCUUUCAGCAGGGACGAGGCCUUAUGGUGACGGUACCUGCAGAAGAAGCUCCGGCUAAAUACGUGCCAGCAGCCGCGGUAAUACGUAUGGGGCGAGCGUUGUCCGGAAUUAUUGGGCGUAAAGGGUACGUAGGCGGUCUAUUAAGUCAGGUGUGAAAGCGUGAGGCUUAACCUCAUUAAGCACUUGAAACUGAUAGACUUGAGUGAAGGAGAGGAAAGUGGAAUUCCUAGUGUAGCGGUGAAAUGCGUAGAUAUUAGGAGGAAUACCGGUGGCGAAGGCGACUUUCUGGACUUUUACUGACGCUCAGGUACGAAAGCGUGGGGAGCAAACAGG
This 410-nucleotide ribosomal RNA is filed under the name Verrucomicrobiota bacterium. RNAcentral describes it as "Verrucomicrobia bacterium partial 16S ribosomal RNA". It matches the Rfam family "Bacterial small subunit ribosomal RNA", at positions 355 to 776 of the family's 1533-position model. The record is from RNAcentral. Lineage: Bacteria; Pseudomonadati; Verrucomicrobiota.